This 793-nucleotide ribosomal RNA is filed under the name uncultured archaeon. Its description in RNAcentral is "bacterial SSU rRNA". It matches the Rfam family "Archaeal small subunit ribosomal RNA", at positions 85 to 879 of the family's 1478-position model. The record is from RNAcentral.
ACGGCUCAGUAACACGUCGAUAACCUUCCUUUAGGUCUGGGAUAACCUCGGGAAACUGAGGCUAAAACCGGAUAGGAGAUUCUGGCUGGAACGCAUUAUCUCUUAAAAGCAAUGCCUAAAGAUGGGUCGGUGGCUGAUUAGGCUGUUGGUGAGGUAAUGGCUCACCAAACCUAUGAUCAGUAGGGGGAAUGAGAGUUCUAGCCCCGAGAAGGACACUGAGACAAGGGUCCUAGCCCUAAGGGGUGCAGCAGGCGCGAAAACUUUACAAUGCACGCAAGUGUGAUAAGGGAAUCCCAAGUGCCUAUUCUUUUAGAGUAUGCUUUUGCUAAGUGUAAGUAGCUUGGCGAAUAAGUGGUGGGCAAGACCGGUGCCAGCCGCCGCGGUAACCCCGGCGCCACAAGUUGCAAUCACGAUUAUUGGGUCUAAAGCGUCCGUAGCAGGCUUGUUAAGUUUCUUGUGAAAUUGUUGUGCUUAACACAACAACGUGCAAGAAAUACUGACAAGCUAGGGACCGGGAGGAGUUAGUGGUACUCAAGGGGGAGUGGUAAAAUAUGAUAAUCCUUUGGGGACCGCCAGUGGCGAAGGCGACUAACUAGAACGGGUCCGACUGUGAGGGACGAAAGCUAGGGGAUCAAACCGGAUUAGAUACCCGAGUAGUCCUAUGCUGUAAACGCUGCGAGCCAUGUGCUGCAUGUUCUUUGUGGACGUGCAGUGCCGUAACGAAGGUGUUAAGCUCGCCACCUGGGAAGUACGGUCGCAAGUCUGAAACUUAAAGGAAUUGGCGGGGGAGCAC